GCAACUUCCCCAAAAUUGGGUAAAGAGUGUUGUAGUAAACUCUGGGUGUGUGUUACACUUUGAACAAGAAGGAUAUCCCACUUCCCAUAUUAUCAUAGAAAAGCUUCUUCAUUUUCCCUGAGUGAGCAUCUUCUUUGACUCAUAAGCUGACCCGGCACGGCUUCGGCGGACCAAUAAGCGACCCACCGCCCGCUGUCGAGUUCUUCAAUCCAAUAUUGAUAUCUGGG
This 227-nucleotide unclassified non-coding RNA is filed under the name Hevea brasiliensis (rubber tree). The record is from RNAcentral. Lineage: Eukaryota; Viridiplantae; Streptophyta; Magnoliopsida; Malpighiales; Euphorbiaceae.